UUCCUACGGGACGCAGCAGUAGGGAAUUUUCGUCAAUGGGCGCAAGCCUGAACGAGCAAUGCCGCGUGAACGAGGAAGGUCUUCGGAUCGUAAAGUUCUGUUGAAGGGGAAAAAGAGCGGAGAGAGGAAAUGGUCUCCGAUUGAUAUUACCCUUCGAGAAAGUCACGGCUAACUACGUGCCAGCAGCCGCGGUAAUACGUAGGUGACAAGCGUUGUCCGGAUUUACUGGGUGUAAAGGGCGCGUAGGCGGG
Molecule: ribosomal RNA, 251 nt
Filed under: uncultured bacterium
Lineage: Bacteria
Description: partial 16S ribosomal RNA
Rfam family: Bacterial small subunit ribosomal RNA
Source: RNAcentral